RNAcentral lists this ribosomal RNA (208 nucleotides) under uncultured bacterium. RNAcentral describes it as "partial 16S ribosomal RNA". It matches the Rfam family "Bacterial small subunit ribosomal RNA", at positions 524 to 732 of the family's 1533-position model. The record is from RNAcentral.
UACGAAGGGUGCAAGCGUUAAUCGGAAUUACUGGGCGUAAAGCGCGCGUAGGUGGUUCAGCAAGUUGGAUGUGAAAGCCCAUGGCUCAACCAUGGACGUGCAUUUGAAACUGGCAGACUUGAGUAUUGGAGGGGUGGUGGAAUUCCCGGUGUAGAGGUGAAAUUCGUAGAGAUGUGGAGGAACACCAAUGGCGAAGGCAGCCCCUCGG